RNAcentral lists this ribosomal RNA (413 nucleotides) under uncultured bacterium. Its description in RNAcentral is "bacterial SSU rRNA". It matches the Rfam family "Bacterial small subunit ribosomal RNA", at positions 505 to 916 of the family's 1533-position model. The record is from RNAcentral.
GUGCCAGCCGCCGCGGUAGUACGUAGGCGGCAAGCGUUGUCCGGAAUUAUUGGGCGUAAAGGGCUCGCAGGCGGUUUCUUAAGUCUGAUGUGAAAGCCCCCGGCUCCACCGGGGAGGGUCAUUGGAAACUGGGAAACUUGAGUGCAGAAGAGGAGAGUGGGAAUCCACGUGUAGCGGUGAAAUGCGGAGCGAUGUGGAGGAAACCCAGUGGCGAAGGCGACUCUCUGGUCUGUAACUGACGCUGAGGAGCGAAAGCGUGGGGAGCGAACAGGAUUAGAUACCCUGGUAGUCCACGCCGUAAACGAUGAGUGCUAAGUGUUAGGGGGUUUUCGCCCCUUAGUGCUGCAGCUAACGCAUUAAGCACUCCGCCUGGGGAGUACGGUCGCAAGACUGAAACUUAAAGGAAUUGACGG